UGAGGAAUCUUCCACAAUGGGCGAAAGCCUGAUGGAGCGACACCGCGUGAAGGAUGAAGCCUUUAUUGGUGUAAACUUCUUUUCUGUGGGAAGAUGAUGACGGUACCACAGGAAUAAGGGGCGGCAAACUACGUGCCAGCAGCCGCGGUAAUACGUAGGCCCCGAGCGUUAUCCGGAAUUACUGGGCGUAAAGAGUGCGUAGGCGGAGCGGGAAGUCAGACGUGAAAGGCCGGGGCUCAACCCCGUGCUUGCGUCCGAAACUCCCGCCCUAGAAUCGGGGAGAGGUAAGCAGAAUGGUAUGAGUAGGGGUGCAAUCCGUUGAUACAUACCAGAAUACCAAAAGCGAAGGCAGCUUACUGGAACCGCAUUGACGCUGAGGCACGAAAGCGUGGGGAGCGAA
This 400-nucleotide ribosomal RNA is filed under the name uncultured bacterium. RNAcentral's name for it is "bacterial SSU rRNA". It matches the Rfam family "Bacterial small subunit ribosomal RNA", at positions 355 to 772 of the family's 1533-position model. The record is from RNAcentral.